UGAAGCAGGGUGACGUGAAGGACGUUUGGGACUGAAUGGUGUGCAUGCUUCCCCAUGUCAGUACAUAAAACAGGACUGCAGGAGUCCCCGUAUAGAAUAAUAGAAUCGUAAAACAAUUUAUGUUGGAAAACACCCUUCAGAUCAUCAAGUCCAGCCAUCAAUCUAUCACUACCAAGUCCACCACCUAACCAAGUCCCUAAUCAUCACACUCACAUACAUCUGAAACACCACCAGGGAUGGUGACUCCACCAUUGGGUUCAACAGCUUCAUGAAGAACAGCCUUCAACAUUCUCUGUGACGCCAGCCCAGGAUGCCUGGUUCAGAGGCUUCCCUUAGAGAGUGCCCCAGAGCAGAGCAUCUGUGCUAGCAUCAGGAGGUGGGUCCUGCACUCCCAGGGACCCCUCAGCAGCUCUGCAGUACUUUAGUCAGGAUGCCACUUUGGGCAGGCAGUGUUUAAAGUGUUACCAAAAAGUCUUGGACUUGUAGCACUGGCGGGGAUCUUGUCACUGAGGAAUACCAGCUGAGAGAGCACUUUGCCUUCUGUAUCAGCUGUUUGGUUUUCCAGUAUGGAUGGAGGACUGUUCUUCAGAGGCUGAGCCUCAUUUGCAUCUGGUUCCUCUCAUCAGACUGCUACAUUCAGUAACCUUCAGCUUACAAAGCAUUUCUCAAUAUUUUAGAUUAUAAAGUCUGGAUGGCUAGGAAAUAAGCACCACCACAAGUAAAUAAUAAAGACGUGAAUCUGGAAUAUGAUCCUGCACCGGACAUGUUAAGCAUCUUCUCCAGAGGAAAGCCAUCCAGCUUGGAAUCUGUAGAAUUCUUUUGGUUAAAAGAACUUGAUCUCAAGCCUCUUUCUUUCUCCAAGUCAUACUGUCAGGAUUUAGUUUCACAGACCAUUCACUACUUUGUACACUCCUCACAAAUAUCACCUUGGAAGGAGAUUUAUCUCUCUCUACAGAGAGAGAAACGCAAGCUGCUUCAAUUUUAUCUAGUUGUCAUACUGUGUGUAUUACGAACUACCACUUCAGUCCACUUCUUGUUCCAUCAAAUGGCUUCAAAGCAGGUGAUACAUAGAUGGUCAAGGAGGAAAGCACUUCAGGGCAAAGUGUGUUCUGAGCUACACUUGUAAAUGAGCAGUAACUUUUGAUUUCAUUGCAGUAACACUGGUUUCUACACCACUAUAUUUAUCUGUCACUUUAUUUUUCUCUUCCAUCAGAGAGAUUUGUAGACAUAUUGUAUUUAGAGACGUUGUCACGCUGAAAAAUAAAACUACUACCCAACAUUUUACUAGUUAGAAUUAAUUUGACAUGCAACUUAUCAUUUUGCAUAUCACUGGACUAUAGCCUUUUCAAUUACACCAUUUCUUUGCAACUCCAAUUAAACUGUUAAUUGAUGUCACUAUUGUCAAAUUGCAAGCAUUUUUUUACAUACAAAUAGCAAGGAAAAAAGAGAGAAGAUCCAGAAUUAAUAGAAAAUAGCAGCAGGUUUCCAGUCUCAGACUACUUUCUGUAUCUUUAUAAGACCACUAUACUAUGCUGGCUGAGAGUUGCAAGAAAAUAUGUACUUAUAUAUUUUGUUAAUGAUAGCAUCGUUCUUGUGUGCUCUGAAAUUAGGACACUUUCUCAAACAAAGGCUGUACAACCAAGUACUAACAGGACUCUUGGGUAUGCUUCAGAAGCUAGAGCUAGAAUUCUUCAAAGCCUGCCCAAAGAGAAUGUUUCUCAACCUCUUCCUAUAAAAAAAAAAUUCUGGAAAAAAAAUUUAUAAAAACAGCUGAACAACCAAUUCUAUUGCUUGCCCUCUGCAACAUCAGCAUCAUGGUGCUCAUAUCCAAAGAAGCCAAAAUAAAUUUUCUGUACCGG
RNAcentral lists this long non-coding RNA (1859 nucleotides) under Gallus gallus (chicken). RNAcentral describes it as "long non-coding RNA NONGGAT002357". Lineage: Eukaryota; Metazoa; Chordata; Aves; Galliformes; Phasianidae. The record is from RNAcentral.